AUUGAACGCUGGCGGCAGGCCUAACACAUGCACGUCGAGCGGAGCGGCGGACGGGUGAGUAAUGACAAGGAAUUUGCCUGGUAGUGGGGGAUAAAGAGCGGCAACGGGCGCUAAUACCGCAUACUAUCAGAUGAGCCUAGGUCGGAAUGGCUGGUUGGUGGGGUAAAGGCCGACCAAGGCGAAGAUCCGUAACUGGUCUGAGAGGAUGAUCAGUCACACUGGAACUGAGACACGUGCCAGACUCCUACGGGAGGCAGCAGGGGGGAAUAUUGGACAAUGGGCGAAAGCCUGCUCCAGCCAUGCCGCGUGUGUGAAGAAGGUCGUCGGAUUGUAAAGCACUUUAAGUUGGGAGGCGUUACCAACAGAAUAAGCACCGGCUAACUUCGUGCCAGCAGCCGCGGUAAUAC
RNAcentral lists this ribosomal RNA (407 nucleotides) under uncultured bacterium. RNAcentral's name for it is "partial 16S ribosomal RNA". It matches the Rfam family "Bacterial small subunit ribosomal RNA", at positions 30 to 526 of the family's 1533-position model. The record is from RNAcentral.